AUUGAACGCUGGCGGCAGGCCUAACACAUGCAAGUCGAACGGUAACAGGAAGCAGCUUGCUGCUUCGCUGACGAGUGGCGGACGGGUGAGUAAUGUCUGGGAAGCUGCCUGAUGGAGGGGGAUAACUACUGGAAACGGUAGCUAAUACCGCAUAAUGUCGCAAGACCAAAGAGGGGGACCUUCGGGCCUCUUGCCAUCGGAUGUGCCCAGAUGGGAUUAGCUUGUUGGUGGGGUAACGGCUCACCAAGGCGACGAUCCCUAGCUGGUCUGAGAGGAUGACCAGCCACACUGGAACUGAGACACGGUCCAGACUCCUUCGGGAGGCAGCAGUGGGGAAUAUUGCACAAUGGGCGCAAGCCUGAUGCAGCCAUGCCGCGUGUAUGAAGAAGGCCUUCGGGUUGUAAAGUACUUUCAGCGGGGAGGAAGGGAGUAAAGUUAAUACCUUUGCUCAUUGACGUUACCCGCAGAAGAAGCACCGGCUAACUCCGU
This 489-nucleotide ribosomal RNA is filed under the name uncultured bacterium. RNAcentral's name for it is "partial 16S ribosomal RNA". It matches the Rfam family "Bacterial small subunit ribosomal RNA", at positions 30 to 506 of the family's 1533-position model. The record is from RNAcentral.